UGGGGAAUAUUGCACAAUGGGGGAAACCCUGAUGCAGCGACGCCGCGUGAACGAAGAAGGUAUUCGUAUCGUAAAGUUCUGUCCUAUGGGAAGAUAAUGACAGUACCAUAGAAGAAAGCUCCGGCUAAAUACGUGCCAGCAGCCGCGGUAAUACGUAUGGAGCGAGCGUUGUCCGGAAUUAUUGGGCGUAAAGGGUACGCAGGCGGUUUAAUAAGUCGAAUGUUAAAGAUCGGGGCUCAACCCCGUAAAGCAUUGGAAACUGAUAAACUUGAGUAGUGUAGAGGAAAGUGGAAUUCCUAGUGUAGUGGUGAAAUACGUAGAUAUUAGGAGGAAUACCAGUAGCGAAGGCGACUUUCUGGACACAAACUGACGCUGAGGUACGAAAGCGUGGGGAGCAAACAGG
Molecule: ribosomal RNA, 403 nt
Filed under: bacterium
Lineage: Bacteria
Description: partial 16S ribosomal RNA
Rfam family: Bacterial small subunit ribosomal RNA
Source: RNAcentral